Molecule: long non-coding RNA, 2717 nt
Organism: Lycium barbarum (goji berry)
Lineage: Eukaryota; Viridiplantae; Streptophyta; Magnoliopsida; Solanales; Solanaceae
Exons: 2
Source: RefSeq, a predicted model, not a curated record
UUUUUCUUGCUCACCACUCCACAAUAUAUACAUACACAUCAUACAAAAAGACAAGGAGAAAAACAGAUUUUAAAUGAAAGGGGCACACGUUUUUUUGGAAAGAUAUUAGGGGGUGGGGCCCCCACAAUUAAAAGAAAAAGAAAAAUGAAAAAAAGAGGGGACAGGCACGUGAUUGAGGGGGCAUGAAUGAUAUAAAAACACACACACACACAUAACAAAAGGGACGGAGAAUAUUAUAGAAUAGUAGGGAGAGAGAAACGGAUAGAAAAGAUAAAAAAAGAAUAUAGAGAGAGAAGGUGACAGACGGAUCAAAAGAAAAAAAAUAUAUACUCAAAUCAUCAUCUUCUUCAUUACAAUCACCAUACCCAAACCACCGCAACCCACCGCCACCUCCACUAUUUCUUCACCGGAAAACCCAUAAAAACCAGCCCUGUUCCAUUUGUAAACAAGAAAAACAAAAAAAACAAAAAAGUAUCAUCUUCUUCAUUUUUUUAAUCACCCAUUAAACCACCAAAUCACCUCAUCUCCACUGUUCCAUCAACCAACACCCAUAACCACCCUAUAAUCUUAAACCCGCCGGAAACCACCUUUAACCCAUCUCGCCCAUACCAUUAAACCGCCGCCACCCUCAACGAACCACUGUUAAAAUACACCAAAAACAGUCAACAAUCAACCGUCAUCUCUUCAUCUCUAUUUUUAGCUUGAUUUUCCGGUAAGAAUUUUUGGGUUGUGUUCGGGACUAUCAAUGUUGGAUUCGACAAUAGACUGCUGUUUUGGGUUAGUCGCGGGUUCAAGUUCGAGUUUUCCGUUGGUUCGCGGUUUCCGGUCAGGCACCGUUUCAUUCGAAGUUCGAAUUUCAGAUUCGUUGGUUUAACAUUAAGGUAAAAUGGUUCACCCGAAGAGAUUGGGGCCACUGCCGAAGACCGUAUUUUCAAAAAUAGCAUGCCGCAAGGGCUAACAAAGGAUUUGGAUGCCAUAAGGGAAAACAUCUAGCCACGAGGGCUAUAAGAGAUUGGAAUGCCACAAGGGAAAACAUCUGGUCACGAGGGCUAAUAAAGGACGUAAACGCUGUAAGGGAAAAUAUCCGACCAAGAGGGUCACCACAAAGCAAUACAACAUAUUUGAUCAUGAGAGUCACAAUCGGCAUAAUGGAUGAAAGAAAGACAAUUUAGCCAAAGGCGACAUAUUUGUCAUUUGCAUGAUAUUUUCUUAUUUUCCAUGAGGGCCAUUACAUAUUUUUUCUUGUUGCCGUGAGGGCCAUUCAUAUUUUCUUAUUUGCCAUGAGGGCCAUUGCAUAUUUUUCUUGUUGCUCUGAGGGCCAUCAUAUUUUCUUAUUUGCCAUGAGGUCCAUUGCAUAUUCUUUCUUGUUGCUGGAGGGCCAUUGCAUAUUUUUUCUUGUCCCGUGAGGGCCAUCAUAUUUUCUUAUUUGCCAUGAGGGCCAUUGCAUUUUUUUUUUCUUAUUGCCAUGAGGGCCAUUGCCUAUUUUUUCUUGUUGCCAAGAGGGUCAUAUUCAUACAUACAUGCCGUGAGGGCCAUAUUCAUACAAACUUCCUAGAGGGCCAUAUUCAUACAAACACGCCGAGAUGGCCAUAUUCAUACAAAGACGCCGUGAGGGCCAUAUUCAUACAAAUGCCGUGAGGGCCAUAUUCAUACAAAUAUGUCGUGAGGGCCAUAUUCAUACAAGCUGCCGAGAGGGCCAUAUUCAUACAAACAUGCCGAGAGGGCCAUAUUCAUACAAACAUGCCGAGAGGGCCAUGUUCAAACAAACAUGCCGAGAGGGCCAUAUUCAUACAAUCACUGCCAGAAGGGCCAUUUAUACGUCAUUGCAUCCUGUCAAUGCCUGAACCUUGAAUAUUGUAUAUAUCCCUUGCAUUCUAUCUUUAAAGCUGCAUCUAUGUCUUGUCUAAAUUUUUCUUGACCCGAUGAGUAGCCAAACUGGGCCUUCUGUAAAGUCUACAUAAUUGUUUUACUUGAAUAUAAGCUGUGUAUAUAGAAGGUAUAUCAAUGUAUACCAAAUAUGUACAAGCUCUGUAUACCUAACGUAUAUAUGAAAUGGUAUAUCUAGUGUAUAUAUGGUAUACCACUUAGAAGAAUUCCAAAUUAUGUGUUUUGUGUAUUAGGAUGACAUAAUUUGGGCCUGGCUCCUAUUUGACUAGCCAUGUUAGUCUUGUUUUGUUUUUGCUCAUGUAUCCUUCUGCAUUUGGGCCUCCUUUCGCAGUUCUGUUUUAUGUUUGGGCAAGUCUACACUUGUUUAAAAGGACUAGAUUAAAAUUGGGAUUUUGUUUGUAUUGUUUGGCUUAGUAUAAGGUCAAUAUUUCAUUUUGUACUUUGUUUUGUUUAUAUACAUGAAUUAUACGCACUUAAUUAGUUUUUUACUUAGUAUAAACAUCCUCUAAUCCUUAUCCUUUUAUGUGUCUCAUGUAAAACAAACAACGGGUCACUUGGGCCAUUCUCUGCAUUUAAACCUGUUGGGCCAGAGGCUCAACCAUCAUUUUUUAUCGAUUCCGAAUAUGAAAAUAAGGGAAGCUAAUAUAUUGAAGUCUCAACCAUGGGUAAAAAUGGUAGAAGGCCCAGAUAUGGGUGAAAAUAGCCAACUGGUGGGCUUAGGUAGGCCCACCAACCUAACUCUCUAUUUACAUUCAUUUUCAUGUGUAUAUGUAUUUGUAAAGACAUGAAAAAAUAUUGAAAUCCCUUAUGCAUGUGUAGAACUUAGAAAA